Non-coding RNA from Pterulicium gracile, 87 nucleotides. The record is from the annotation of a GenBank genome assembly. NCBI's taxonomy places the organism in Eukaryota, Fungi, Basidiomycota, Agaricomycetes, Agaricales, Pterulaceae.
GCCCGUUUAGCUCAGUGGUAGAGCGCGCCACUCGUAAGGUUAAUCAUUACAAUGGUGAGGUCGGUUGUUCAAUCCAGCCAAUGGGCA